Molecule: long non-coding RNA, 7559 nt
Filed under: Podarcis lilfordi (Lilford's wall lizard)
Lineage: Eukaryota; Metazoa; Chordata; Lepidosauria; Squamata; Lacertidae
Source: RNAcentral
AAAGCGCAGAGUCCUUGUCAGGAAGGAGAGCGAGCAAGCGAGAAAACGUGAGGACCGAAGGAGGGUUGAGUGGAUCAGGCCCAUCUAGUCCAGCGUCCUGUUCUCGCAGAGGCCAAAUACCCCCUAAGAACCGAGGGGUCCAGGUAGAUUGCUUCUGGACAUGGAGGUUUCAUGAGGACAUAGAAGAGUUUGGGUUUGAUAUCCCGCUUUAUCACUCCCCUUCAGGAGUCUCAAAGCGGCUAACAAUCUCCUUUCCCUUCCUCCACCACAACAAACACCCUGUGAGGUGAGUGGGGCUGAGAGACUUCAGAGAAGUGUGACUAGCCCAAGGUCACCCAGCAGCUGCAUGUGGAGGAGCGGAGAAUCGAACCCGGUUCACCAGAUUACGAGUCUACCGCUCUUAACCACUACACCACACUGGCUCUAACAUGUUAUAAGUUUAACAUAAGUUUGUUAAAGUUGCUGAGCGUUGUUCCAGGAGACCCUGUGUACUGCCCCCCAUAAGAGCUACAAUUCCCAGAGUUCCCUGAGAAGAGGGAUUGAUGGAUAAACCACGCUGGGAAUUUUAGCACCAGGAGCAGAAUACCUAGAACUGUCGGCGCCCUAAGCAAACUACAACUCCCAGAACUUAUUUGGGGAAGCAGUGCCUGUUUAAAGUGGUAUCACAGCGCUUCGGAUAUAUGGUGCAAGUGUGGCUUCAGAGGGCUUGAGUCACUCUUCAAAAGCAUUUCUGGGAAGUGUAGCUCAGCUAGGGGAAUAGGGGUCUGCUAAGAAGUCUCAGCACCCUGAGCAUCCAUCGCCUCUCAACGGCUUCUACUGCCAGAAAAUUCUUCCUAAUGUUUAGUUGGCAUCUCCUUUCUGGCCAUUUGAAUCCAUCGGUUCGGGUCCCAGCGUCUGGAACAGUAAAGGGGUUGGACUAGAUGACUCCCUUCCAAACCUACGAUUCCUUGCUACAAUUAAAACAAGUGUGCAUUUUUUUUAAAAAAUGGUGCAAGUGAAUCAGGACGAAAGCUCGUAUGGAGGAGCCCCUGAUCCAAAUUUCCCAGACAGCCUCUAAAGGCUUGCAGUCUAAUAUCAGAAGGGGCCUGGAGACAACAAGCCUUGCCCUUGUUGUAAACAAAAUCUUCCCUUUCCCCAUUAUGGGGUAACCAAGAGCCCAUAUAGAGUCCUUACGUGGGUUCCCUAUUGGUAGGAGAAAAUAACAGAGGCCAACCAGAGAAUAUUGAGAAGCAAAGCAGCUAGUAAGCCUGAUCUUUAUUGAUCUGUUGCAACAGGGUGCUCCCCUCACACGCAAGAAAGGAGGAGGACCCAGAACAAAGGUGUGCCUGCCCUUAUAUAGACAUUUUAAAUUCCCUGCCCUGGAGCUCAAGACCCCCCCCCCCAUACAUCAUACAUACAUCACAGAAGGGGUGUAACCCAAGACCACCCCCCAGAUACAUCAUACCUACAUCACAAAAAAGGCGGUCUACAGCAGAAAUCUGAGUGCGUUGUUUAUCUCGUCUGACAGGUUACCUGUUAAUGCUCACUUGAUUGGAUACCCUGGGGAGCCUGGCCAGUCUUUUGUAAUGAUAAAUACUUAGUUCCUGAGCCAGGUCACAGGCUCACCCUAUUCAUACACAGACAGACAUACCCUCAAGACAGGAUUUGUGAAGGAAAAGACAAUGGGGAGGCUUUUCCAUUUUCCUUUGACAUUGCAGAGAAAACAUUUGGUCAGUUUGGGAAUCAAAAAUGGUUUCAGGUCAGUCUUCCUGUGCUGAUCUAUGUACGUGCUUGGUUGGUACAUUUAUGAACAUUUAUUAUAUAUCUAAGACUUUAAGAUUCUUAUCGCAUCCUCACUGCCUCCUGUGGCAGGGAGUUCCAUAGUUUCAUCCCUGCCCUGCAUGAAAAAAGGGUCUUUCACUGGAUCAGAGGGAUUUUUCAGCUGCAGUUUCCUGCAUUGCAGGGGGUUGGACUACAUGACCCUCGGGUGUCUCUCCCAACCCUAUGAUUCUCAUGAGGUUAAAUCUCAAAGUGGCGAGACGGCUGCCUCUCUCGUUCCCUGCUCUCACGCUGCUGUGUGGCACAAACCUUGCAAUUUCACACACUGUGGCUGCGGAGAUGCUUUUUGAACUGUUGAUAACAAGCUGUAAGACCAUUAGGGCUGUUUUUAAAAAAAGUGGGGGUGGAAAAACCAGAAGAAAGAUUGGGAGCUUUUAAAGCUGCAGCCAUGGAGGAAAUUAGCACAGAGUUCGGGAGGUGAUAAAGAGCCUUCAAUAAUUGGUAUUAGUGGUGGUAUUUGGAUCAGAGCAGUGUUGCAUUGCGGUUAGUUAGAGGGUUAGACUAGGACCUGGGAGACCAGGGUUCGAAUCCCCGCACAUCCAUGAAGCUCACUGGAUGACCUUGUGCCAGGCAACCUGGCCUACCUCACAGGGUUGUUGUACGCAUAAAUGAGGAUAAUAAUAAUAUUAUAAUAAUUUAUUAUUUGUACCCCACCCAUCUGGCUGGGUCUCCCCAGCCACUCUGGGUGGCUUCCAACGAAGAUUAAAAAUACAUUAAAAUGUCACACAUUAAAAACUUCCCUGAACAGGGCUGCCUUCAGGUGUCUUCUAAAUGUCAGGUAGUUGUUUAUCUCUUUGACAUUUCGUGGGAGGGUGUUCCACAGGGCGGGUGCCACCACCGAGAAGGCCUUCUGCCUGGUUCCCUGUAGCUUUGCUUCUCACAGUGAGGGAACCGCCAGAAGGCCCUCGGAGCUGGACCUCAGUGUCCAGGCAGAACGAUGGGGGUGGAGACGCUCCUUCAGAUAUACUGGACCGAGGCCGUUUAGGGCUUUAAAGGUCAGCACCAACACUUUGAAUUGUGCUUGGAUACGUCCUGGGAGCCAGUGUAGAUCUCUCAGGACCGGUGUUAUGUGGUCUUGGUGGCCGCUCCCAGUCACCAGUCUAGCUGCCGCAUUCUGGAUUAAUUGUAGUGUCCGGGUCACCUUCAAAGGUAGCCCCACAUAGAACACACUGCAGUAGUCCAAGCGGGAGAUGCAGAGCAUGCACCACUCUGGUGAGAUAGUCUGCGGGCAGGGAGGGUCUCAUCCUGCGUACCAGAUGGAGCUGGUAGACAGCUGCCCUGGAUACAGAAUGGGCCUGCACCUCCAUGGACAGCUGUGAGUCCAAAAUGACUCCCAGGCUGCACACCUGGUCCUUCAGGGCCACAGUUACCCCAUUCAGGACCAGGGAGUCCUCCACAUCCGCCCACCUCCUGUCCCCCCAAAACAGUGCUUCUGUCUUGUCAGGAUUCUACCUCAAUCCGUUAGCCACCAUCCAUCCUCCAUGGGGAGAACAAUGGACUACACCUUAGAGAAAAAAGGUCGGCUAAAAAUGCGAUGAAUGAAUGAUAAAUUAAUACCACCCCUUGCUUCAGUUGUUGCCACAACCCGUCCAGUUCCUGAAACUUUUCUCAGGGCUAUGACCUGCGGAAAAAUCAGCCAGUAAAACCUGCCCGGAGAACCUGGCUGGAGACAUUAAUUUUUAUUUGUUCCAUAAAAUUCAUACAGUGCUUGAUUGUUUAAAAAAUAAACCCUCAAAGCGAUUUACAGAGAACGUAAGACAAUAAAUGUAUCAAAAAGACAGAUUAACAAGAAUGACCUAAGACUUUUGAAAAGUUAAAAUAACAAGAAAAGCAGAUUAAAACUCACAUCAACUCUCUAAAUAUCUGGGUAGGUUUCUCGAAACAUUAAUGUUUUCAGCUGGCGGCAUUUUUUUAAAAAUAAACUUUCUUCCAAACACUGGUCAAAUUCCUUGAGAUCAAGCUGGUGUUUUAAAGCAGAGAGACAGCCACAUUCAAGCUAUCAUGAAAGGCACAGGCGCAGAGGCCAAUUCAAAAGUUGGCAACCCUAUCCGGCGGUGGCAAAAAUGAAGCCCAGUGAAGAUACAAAUCUUGUUCUUCUUUUAAUCUCUGAAAUAUUAACUGGAUCUUUACAUUGAUAUGCCGCUGUUCCAGGAGCUCACAGCAGCAUGCUUCGUCUUAAUUCCAGGGGUCAGCAAAAUCUUUCAGCAGGGGUCCGGUCUACUGUCCCUCAGACCUUGUAGGGGGGCCAGACUAUAUAUUUUUUUGGGGGGGGGGGGGGGAAUGAACCAAUCCCUAUGCCCCACAAAUAACCCAGAGAUGCAUUUCAAAUAAAAGCACACAUUCUACUCAUGUAAAAACACGCUGAUUCCUGGACGGCCGUGGGCUGGAUUGAGAAGGCAAUUGGACCGGAUCUGGCCCCCGGGCCUUAGGUUGCCUACCCAUGAUUUAAACUGUACCACAGUCCUGCAAGGGAGGCAUGGGCAGCGAACGAACAACUGGCCCAAGCUCACGAUGGGGGAGAUUUGAACCCAGACUGGAGGAGGGCAAAUGUUGUCCCUAUUUUCAAAAAGGGGAAAAGAGAGGACCCAAAUAAUUACCGCCCAGUCAGUCUGACAUCAAUACCAGGGAAGAUUCUGGAGCAGAUCAUUAAGCAAACAGUCUGUGAGCACCUAGAAAGGAAUGCUGUGAUCACCAAUAGUCAGCAUGGAUUUCUGAAAAAUAAGUCAUGUCAGACUAACCUGAUCUCGUUUUUGACAGAAUUACAAGCCUGGUAGAUGAAGGGAACGCAGUGGAUGUAGCCUACCUUGAUUUCAGCAUGGCAUUUGACAAGGUGCCCCAUGAUAUUCUUGUAAAGAAGCUGGUAAAAUGCGGUCUUGACUAUGCUACCACUCAGUGGAUUUGUAACUGGCUGACUGACCGAACCCAAAGGGUGCUCAUCAAUGGUUCCUCUUCAUCCUGGAGAAGAGUGACUAGUGGGGUGCCACAGGGUUCUGUCUUGGGCCCGGUCUUAUUCAACAUCUUUAUCAAUGACUUGGAUGAUGGACUCAAGGGCAUCCUGAUCAAAUUUGCAGAUGACACCAAAUUGGGAGGGGUGGCUAACACCCCAGAGGACAGGAUCACACUUCAAAACGACCUUGACAGAUUAGAGAACUGGGCCAAAACAAACAAGAUGAAUUUUAACAGGGAGAAAUGUAAAGUAUUGCACUUGGGCAAAAAAAAUGAGAGGCACAAAUACAAGAUGGGGGACACGUGGCUUGAGAGCAGUACAUGUGAAAAGGAUCUAGGAGUCUUGGUUGACCACAAACUUGACAUGAGCCAACAGUGUGACGCGGCAGCUAAAAAAGCCAAUGCAAUUCUGGGCUGCAUCAAUAGAAGUAUAGCAUCUAGAUCAAGGGAAGUAAUAGUGCCACUGUAUUCUGCUCUGGUCAGACCUCACCUGGAGUACUGUGUCCAGUUCUGGGCACCACAGUUCAAGAAGGACACUGACAAACUGGAACGUGUCCAGAGGAGGGCAACCAAAAUGGUCAAAGGCCUGGAAACGAUGCCUUAUGAGGAACGGCUAAGGGAGCUGGGCAUGUUUAGCCUGGAGAAGAGGGGGGUUAAGGGGUGAUAUGAUAGCCAUGUUCAAAUAUAUAAAAGGAUGUCACAUAGAGGAGGGAGAAAGGUUGUUUUCUGCUGCUCCAGAGAAGCGGACACGGAGCAAUGGAUCCAAACUACAAGAAAGAAGAUUCCACCUAAACAUUAGGAAGAACUUCCUGACAGUAAGAGCUGUUCGACAGUGGAAUUUGCUGCCAAGGAGUGUGGUGGAGUCUCCUUCUUUGGAGGUCUUUAAGCAGAGGCUUGACAACCAUAUGUCAGGAGUGCUCUGAUGGUGUUUCCUGCUUGGCAGGGGGUUGGACUCGAUGGCCCUUGUGGUCUCUUCCAACUCUAGGAUUCUAUGAUUCUAUGAUUCUAUCCCUCCCAGGACCUUGCUUGACGCUCUAACCCAUGGGUAGGCAAACUAAGGCCCAGGGGCCAGAUGCGGCCCAAUCGCCUUCUAAAUCCGGCCCGCGGACGGUCUGGGAAUCAGCGUGUUUUUACAUGAGUACUAUUGCAGGAAAGCCCCCCCCCCCACAUUCAGUUUGUACAAACACGACACACACACACACACACUCACACACGACAUACGCGACGUUUCUGUUAUAAAUUCAUAGUAAAUCAACCAUACAUCGGAUUUACACCGGUCCACGUUUAUUUUGCUCCAUGGAGGAAGGACUAUCAAAGGGGGAUGGUUUGAUACAGGACGGCCAUAAUCCCUUGAGCGUACCAGCACAUACACAGGAGCCCUGCCCAGUUGCUAUGCCAACCUUGAUGGUCCUAGACAGAAGACCAUCAAGGUCACAAAGGGCUUGCAUAUGGGAGUGGAUUCAACAUGGACUGGAACAAAGAACAAUGAUCAGAUCUUCCCUCUGGGGGCAGGAAACUGCCAACUCCCCUUUGUCCUUUGGAAAUGACUCAUGGGGAGGGGGAAAGGAAGAACCAGGCAGGUGACAAGAUACUCAGGUUACCUCCACAACUCCUCCCUCAACCCCUCCUUUCUGUGAUGUGUCAAUGAUGUAGUCAUGAUGUAGUUGUGAUGUACGGUAGUUCUAGGGGUGUAGUUUGGGGGAUUAGUAACUAAUAAAAGUUUGGGGGCUCUUUUGCUCUGGGCUUCCAUUUGUUCUGGUGGCAGGUGGGAGUCCUGUCGCGACAGUCUUCAGUAAAGACCAAGACUACUGGCUGCUGUUUUGCUCUGGUAUUCCUGGCUGGUGUCCUUGUUUUAUUGUCCAAGGGAGCCCUCGGAUAUCUCCGUUAACAGUAGAAUGUGUGCUUUUAUUUAAAAUGCAUCUCUGGGUUCUUUGUGGGGCAUAGGAAUUCGUUCAUUUUCCCCCCUUCAAAAUACAGUCCGGCCCCCCACAAGCUCUGAGGGACAGUGAACCGGCCCCCUGCUGACCUCUGCUCUAACCCCUGUGUCUGAGUUCCCCAGAGCAUGUACAGAAGUCCUUCCCUUUGGGCAUAGAAGCGAGGCUCCUGGGACAGAGGCACGGGUUGCUAGAAUGUGAAAGCGCCUUUUCCUAGGAGAUGGAGUGUGGUAGGAAAUUGCUGGGUGGAAAGUCAAGGGUGGGAGAGAGACAUGAGAUUAGCUGCACAUCAGAUGUCCCAGGCCUGGACACCUCUCACUGCAAAUUAAUUCCUGAUGGCCCAAAGCUGUUGACGAAGGGAUCUGUGUCUGUGCUCCAGGUGCUGGGCCCCGAUGAAGAUGGAUAACGCGGCGUCUUAAUUAGUGCACCAUCGAUUGGACGGAGCGGCCUGCGACUCCGAAGAUCUUGGUGCGGCGGCUCGAGUGAUUGAUUGGCAGCUGUCAGAAACUCAGCAUCCUGGAGGGCCUUUUGGCCUGUCUCAUUCGAUUUGGAUCCAGCGAUGAGUGGCGUGCCAAAGCAGGAUUGGCAGCUUGUGGUGGAAUCCCAGCUCUCAACUGCUACCUACCCCCCCAAAAAACCCAGCACCCUUUGAUGCCUUUUCCGGUUUUGGAAAGGACAGGCGAGCAAUGAGGACUAUAGACUUGAACGGGAACGUCGAACCAUUCUGUAGGGCUGGCUCUGCUGCCAGGAAGGGCACAGCAGCCAGCUCAGUGGGUAGGUGUUGUGUGUGUGUCAGAUUUUGAAAGUUGGAGUGUGCAGGGUGUACUCUUGUUCAAAUUGUGCGAGAGCACAGGAAGGGAU